This 522-nucleotide long non-coding RNA is filed under the name Lotus japonicus. RNAcentral describes it as "long non-coding RNA (LJAP_LNC002147)". Lineage: Eukaryota; Viridiplantae; Streptophyta; Magnoliopsida; Fabales; Fabaceae. The record is from RNAcentral.
UCCUCAUCUCUGCUACUCUCUCCUUUCCCUUACUUUAUUCCUGAGCAAUUACAAUGUUUUUUGUUUCUCGCCAGUUUUGUUACCCAUCCACGCCGGAGGAAGCUGUUUGAUCCUGGGGAGGUGUUCUGGAUAUUCCAGGAUAAAACCUUCAAGGACAACGAAUUGAUUUUCACGACUCAGCUUAUUUUUCUUGCAGGUUCUGUUCGUGGUUUUGCUGUUGUCCCAAGGUUGCUGUUCGGCGUCAAAUAUCCAACAAUUGGAGCAAGAGAGGGGAAGAAGAGGAAACUGAAAAAGAUGAUUAAUCCUGCAACGCUACAACAUCAGUGUUAAGAAUCACCAAUGAAGGAAGCCCAAGUGAAUUCAGAGGUGACGAUUGAACGUGGCUCAAUUCUUUAUAUGCUUUCCACAAGGAUGGGUUUGCUUAUGAGUUUCCUAGGUUGUUAGAUUUAUUGGUGAAACUUAAAACAAUAAAUCCCAAAAUCUUCACUGUAUCAUCAUUUCAUAUGAGUAUUUCAUUCAUAC